RNAcentral lists this transfer RNA (58 nucleotides) under Salmo salar (Atlantic salmon). It matches the Rfam family "tRNA", at positions 8 to 63 of the family's 71-position model. From Rfam's summary of the family: Transfer RNA (tRNA) molecules are approximately 80 nucleotides in length. Their secondary structure includes four short double-helical elements and three loops (D, anti-codon, and T loops). The record is from Rfam by way of RNAcentral. Lineage: Eukaryota; Metazoa; Chordata; Actinopteri; Salmoniformes; Salmonidae.
UAGCUCAGUUGGUAGAGCAUCGCGCUUAUAACGCCAGAGUAGUGGGUUCGAUUCCGGC